This is a long non-coding RNA of Corapipo altera (White-ruffed manakin), 319 nucleotides long. RefSeq lists it as uncharacterized. NCBI's taxonomy places the organism in Eukaryota, Metazoa, Chordata, Aves, Passeriformes, Pipridae. The record is from RefSeq and is a predicted model, not a curated record. The transcript has 4 exons.
CUUUGAAAAGCUAAAUAAGGUGAAGAGGAUGUAGAAAAUAGACCUUAUUUGGAGAACUGUGAACCCUACGGUGGCAUCUGUACUAAAGGAUCAUUUUGUGGGAGCAAUACCAACCUACUUCCUCUGAACGUUUGAGUAGAAGGGUGAGCUUCUCAGGAUUUUUUUCCUUGAAAAAAAAAAGGAUUAACUCUGACCAAGGUCAGAGCAACUAGUCACCAAUAUUCUUCACGGGUGAGUCCGGCCUCCUGCAUCCCUGGAAAAUAUCACCUGAAACAUCCACCUAUGCACAGGACUUUAACAGGGAAUUUUGCAGUGUCAG